This is a non-coding RNA of Helianthus annuus (common sunflower), 107 nucleotides long. NCBI's taxonomy places the organism in Eukaryota, Viridiplantae, Streptophyta, Magnoliopsida, Asterales, Asteraceae. The record is from Rfam.
AGGCCGUGAUGGGGACACUUACGUAAUAGCUCCUUGAACCUUUCCCAAGUUUCAUAUAAGGAUUCCCCGUCCUCCUGUGAGUAUGUAUUAAUUUCAGCCAUUAAUUU